AACGCAAGUUGCACCCUUGGGGACUUUUUAAGGACUCUUGGGUAUGCCCCUUUGAGCAUCAUGACCCAAUUUAUUACUCACUUUACUUUUAAGUUAAGUGGAAAAUGAGAUUCUAUUGUCUCUUUACUGAGUUGAUAGUAUCUUGAAACAGUUUGCCUGUAUUGACUUGUGCUUACUCAGUUGUACUGCAUCACUAAUAUCGAGUGUGGUGUAAGAGAGUUUUUAGAUAAUAUACUUUCUAAAAAAAGGCUCUUACAUUCUCUCAUAUCAGUUUGUUGUAUCUGUGGUUUGCAUAACAAUUACAAAAACCAAAACACUAAAUGUGAUCUCAAAUGGGGUAGGAAGACCCGCUGAACUUAA
Molecule: unclassified non-coding RNA, 360 nt
Filed under: uncultured fungus
Lineage: Eukaryota; Fungi
Description: partial contains ITS1, 5.8S rRNA and ITS2
Source: RNAcentral